AGAGUUUGAUCCUGGCUCAGGACGAACGCUGGCGGCGCGCUUAACACAUGCAAGUCGAGCGAGAACCAUUCCUUCGGGAAUGGGGACAGCGGCGAACGGGUGAGUAACACGUGGGUAAUCUGCCCUCGAUUCUGGGAUAGCCCGGGGAAACCCGGAUUAAUACCGGAUAGCCUCUCGAGCUUUCGAGCUCGUGAGAAAAGGUAGCUUCGGCCUCCGAUCGAGGAUGAGCCCGCGGCGGAUUAGCUUGUUGGUGGGGUAAUGGCCUACCAAGGCGACGAUCCGUAGCUGUCUGAGAGGACGAUCAGCCACACUGGGACUGAGACACGGCCCAGACUCCUACGGGAGGCAGCAGUGGGGAAUCUUGCGCAAUGGGCGAAAGCCUGACGCAGCGACGCCGCGUGGGGGAAGAAGGCCUUCGGGUUGUAAACCUCUUUCAGCAGGGACGAAGCCACUCGGGUUAAUAGCCCAGAGGGUGACGGUACCUGCAGAAGAAGCCCCGGCUAACUACGUGCCAGCAGCCGCGGUAAU
RNAcentral lists this ribosomal RNA (528 nucleotides) under uncultured soil bacterium. RNAcentral describes it as "bacterial SSU rRNA". It matches the Rfam family "Bacterial small subunit ribosomal RNA", at positions 8 to 524 of the family's 1533-position model. The record is from RNAcentral.